RNAcentral lists this ribosomal RNA (497 nucleotides) under uncultured bacterium. RNAcentral describes it as "partial 16S ribosomal RNA". It matches the Rfam family "Bacterial small subunit ribosomal RNA", at positions 28 to 507 of the family's 1533-position model. The record is from RNAcentral.
GAUGAACGCUGGCGGCGUGCCUAAUACAUGCAAGUCGAGCGAACAGAUAAGGAGCUUGCUCCUUUGACGUUAGCGGCGGACGGGUGAGUAACACGUGGGUAACCUAUCUAUAAGACUGGAAUAACUCCGGGAAACCGGGGCUAAUGCCGGAUAACAUGUUGAACCGCAUGGUUCUACAGUGAAAGGCGGCUUUGCUGUCACUUAUAGAUGGACCCGCGCCGUAUUAGCUAGUUGGUGGGGUAACGGCUCACCAAGGCAACGAUACGUAGCCGACCUGAGAGGGUGAUCGGCCACACUGGAACUGAGACACGGUCCAGACUCCUACGGGAGGCAGCAGUAGGGAAUCUUCCGCAAUGGGCGAAAGCCUGACGGAGCAACGCCGCGUGAGUGAUGAAGGUCUUCGGAUCGUAAAACUCUGUUAUUAGGGAAGAACAAAUGCGUAAGUAACUGUGCGCGUCUUGACGGUACCUAAUCAGAAAGCCACGGCUAACUACGUG